This 918-nucleotide long non-coding RNA is filed under the name Sinocyclocheilus anshuiensis. Its description in RNAcentral is "lncRNA (ENSSANG00000051178.1)". Lineage: Eukaryota; Metazoa; Chordata; Actinopteri; Cypriniformes; Cyprinidae. The record is from RNAcentral.
UGACUGGGUCAUUCCAGCAUCAUAUCUCAGCACAACAGUGAAGUUAAUCAGAGUGGCAAUUGUUGUCCAUGUUGUGUAUGUUGCAAUGCCAUUCUGAACCUGCAAGAUUAAAGAUGCUAAAUUAAAAAUGCAUAAUGUUUUUCAAAUGGUUUGAGAUGCUAUUAAGUAAAAUUGUAAUGGACUCUCACCAAUAUCCGUAUGCACCAGAGGUCUACUUUGUGAUAUUUGUUUAACCAGGCUCCAUAUUGUUUGAGUCCAUGACAGGAGAAGAUUAUCAGCAAAUAGUUUGUGAAGGCAAUCAAGGCAAGGAUAAUGAAUGCAGCAAUCAUCACCCUUUAAAGAAAUGCAAAGAAGUUUAUGAGGAUUUUGCAAACAGUCAACAAAAACGAGAGAGAAGAAGCCAGAUUAUAUUUAGCAGCAUGUUUACAAUCCAGGUUAUGAAGAAUCCAUAUGGCAACACAGCAGGACUGCAGUACAUUGGACCAUAAACAGUCCUGUGAGCACAAUAUACAUAAUCGUCUCAUUAACUGCAGCAUGUUAUUAUUACAAAAUCACAUUUCAUGCCACUUUAUUUUUUGAUUACCAUUUGAUUCUAGCUCACUGAGUUCUUACCUCCUGCAGGUAGUGGUGAGGAUGUAAACAUGCAUGAGUGACAGCCAAGUGUAGAUGACACCCCAGAUUGAGAAGGUCCAUCCCGAGGGAGUGAUUUCUGUAUUGUAUUUAUCUGAUAUCGCUCCAGUGUUGUUCCGAAAAGGACCUGCAAAUAGGAAAAAAUAAAAUUGUAGCGAUAUAUUUAACCAAAAUGUAAUUUAGCACCUAAUUCAUACUGGAAACAGUAUUAUAUUUAUCUUCUGCACAUACCAGUUCCCGGUCCAGCAAGUGCGUUGAAUAUGAUGCAGAUGAUGAAAAUGACAACAG